UCCCUCUUAGCUCAGUUGGUAGAGCGCGUCACUAGUAUCUGUCCUUGACGGUCCUUUAUGACGAGGUCAGUCGUUCAAGUCGGCUAGAGGGAA
Non-coding RNA from Desarmillaria ectypa, 93 nucleotides. Lineage: Eukaryota; Fungi; Basidiomycota; Agaricomycetes; Agaricales; Physalacriaceae. The record is from the annotation of a GenBank genome assembly.